This 497-nucleotide ribosomal RNA is filed under the name uncultured bacterium. RNAcentral describes it as "partial 16S ribosomal RNA". It matches the Rfam family "Bacterial small subunit ribosomal RNA", at positions 28 to 507 of the family's 1533-position model. The record is from RNAcentral.
GAUGAACGCUGGCGGCGUGCCUAAUACAUGCAAGUCGAGCGAACAGACGAGGAGCUUUCUCCUCUGACGUUAGCGGCGGACGGGUGAGUAACACGUGGAUAACCUACCUAUAAGACUGGGAUAACUUCGGGAAACCGGAGCUAAUACCGGAUAAUAUAUUGAACCGCAUGGUUCAAUAGUGAAAGACGGUUUUGCUGUCACUUAUAGAUGGUUCCGCGCCGGAUUAGCUAGUUGGUAAGGUAACGGCUUACCAAGGCGACGAUGCGUAGCCGACCCGGGCGGGGGAGUCGCCCAACUGGAACUGAGAAACGGUCCAGACUCCGAAGGGAGGGAGCAGGGGGGAAUAUUGCACAAUGGGCGCAAGCCGUACGGAGCCAUGCCGCGUGUAGGAAGAAGGCUUUCGGGUUGGAAAAUCCUUUUAGUUGGGAAGAAAAAAAUGGGUAAAAUACCUUUCCUGUUUGACGGGACCCUAAUAAGAAGCCCCGGCUAACUUCGGG